ACUCCCCUUUGCAGUCACUGUCCAUCAGGUGUAGUAAGAUGCUACGGUGUUACUAUUUGUCUUCUCUGUGCUGUACUGCCCUCCCGUGACCCCCCCUACAUUAUGUGUGCUAAUCACGAUGCCCUUUAAUCCCCUUCCCCCUGACUACCCACCCACCCUUUCUCAGUAAUAUUUUAUUGUUUUCACUUAAGUUUCCCAGCGGUCCCCUCCCCAUUCCACUACACCUGAAGAUAACGUUUCCCUGGCCGCUGGUUGCUGCGUCCUCUCCCUAGCAACAAGGUUCCCGCCGUAGAACAAGCGGCUCUGGGUCUGAGGAACGUGAGGCCGUAAAGCCGCGAGUGUCGUAAACCAGGUACGGUGCGGAGAGGCGCAGGACGUGGCUCGAACAUUCGGACGCCCGCAGGAGGAGCAGACAGACGGCCCAGCCCAGGUGUGGGUGCGGAAAGCCGACGAACCGGAGGUGCAGUAACGGUCCACUUGUCCUUCAGGAGAACAUAUGCCUCCUUGCCCUGAUGUUGGUGGAUGCCCAUUAGAUCCUCUUUCUCCUUGCUGGCAAAGGCAGCUCCAGCCACAGUCUCUUGCCUUCAGACUUUUCUCUGGAGAUGAUGAGGAUACCAGCCCACUGACAGCUCUUACUCCAAGUAAGUCCUGAAAUCUCCCCUUUUAAAUAUGGACUGGAGGAGGGCUGUCUGUAAUGUCGGAGAUUCCAUUUUCCACUCAACUGGUUUUCCUGUCCAGUUGGUCCAGCAUGUAGCAUUUGGCUUUGGUUGGCACCUUUUGCACUGUCCUUGGCCUAAAAUAAUUCCAUUUUAGCAUUCUGUUACACAUGGUGGUUCCUUGGUCUUGAAAUGUUGAACCAGUUGAUUUUAUUAAAGCUUUAUUUGCUAAUGUUUUAAAAUCAAAGGACUUCACAUAAAAAUUUGGGUUUUGACUUUUCUCUAAAAAUCAAAACUGACCACUGCAUGCUGAUAUUCCAAUAAAGAAAAA
Molecule: long non-coding RNA, 987 nt
Organism: Manis pentadactyla (Chinese pangolin)
Lineage: Eukaryota; Metazoa; Chordata; Mammalia; Pholidota; Manidae
Exons: 2
Source: RefSeq, a predicted model, not a curated record